Molecule: small nuclear RNA, 106 nt
Organism: Octodon degus (degu)
Lineage: Eukaryota; Metazoa; Chordata; Mammalia; Rodentia; Octodontidae
Source: Ensembl
GUGAUCACUUCUGUAGCACAUACACUAAAGUUGGAACAGUGCAGAGGAGAUUAGCAUGACCCCUGCACAAGGAUGACACGCAAAAACUGAAGCAUUCCAUAGUUUU